Molecule: ribosomal RNA, 459 nt
Filed under: uncultured bacterium
Lineage: Bacteria
Description: partial 16S ribosomal RNA
Rfam family: Bacterial small subunit ribosomal RNA
Source: RNAcentral
CCUACGGGUGGCAGCAGUGAGGAAUAUUGGUCAAUGGGCGGGAGCCUGAACCAGCCAAGUCGCGUGAAGGAAGAAGGUACUUAGUAUUGUAAACUUCUUUUGUCGGGGAACAAAGGCGGAGACGCGUCUCCGGAUGAGUGUACCCGAAGAAAAAGCAUCGGCUAACUCCGUGCCAGCAGCCGCGGUAAGACGGGGGAUGGGAGUGUAAACCGGAUUUGUGGGGUUUAAAGGGUGCGCAGUUGGGGGAUCAAGGCAGCGGUAAAAUGUCGGGGCGCAACCCCGGCCGGCCGUUGAAACUGGUUUUCUAGAGUUGUAGAGAAGUAUGCGGAAUUCGUGGUGUAGCGGUGAAAUGCAUAGAUAUCACGAAGAACUCUGAUUGCGAAGGCAGCAUACCGGCUCCAUACUGACGCUGAGGCACGAAAGCGUGGGGAUCGAACAGGAUUAGAUACCCCAGUAGUC